Molecule: non-coding RNA, 32 nt
Filed under: Rattus norvegicus (Norway rat)
Lineage: Eukaryota; Metazoa; Chordata; Mammalia; Rodentia; Muridae
Source: RNAcentral
UGCCUUGUGAGAGCUGAGGAUUUCAGCUGAGU